UGAGAGUGAGAUCGGCCCCAGGUGCU
This 26-nucleotide non-coding RNA is filed under the name Rattus norvegicus (Norway rat). Lineage: Eukaryota; Metazoa; Chordata; Mammalia; Rodentia; Muridae. The record is from RNAcentral.